This 233-nucleotide ribosomal RNA is filed under the name uncultured Gardnerella sp. RNAcentral's name for it is "partial 16S ribosomal RNA". It matches the Rfam family "Bacterial small subunit ribosomal RNA", at positions 126 to 355 of the family's 1533-position model. The record is from RNAcentral. Lineage: Bacteria; Bacillati; Actinomycetota; Actinomycetes; Bifidobacteriales; Bifidobacteriaceae.
CGCCCCACUGCUCCAGAAUAGCUCUUGGAAACGUAGGUGGUAAUGCUGGAUGCUCCAACUUGACGCAUGUCUUGUUGGGAAAGUGUUUAGUGGCAUUGGAUGGGGUCGCGUCCUAUCAGCNUUGUAGGCGGGGUAAUGGCCCACCUAGGCUUCGACGGGGUAGCCGGCCUGAGAGGGCGGACGGCCACAUUGGGACUGAGAUACGGCCCAGACUCCUACGGGAGGCAGCAGUA